GGUUUUAUGGUGUAGUGGUUAGCAUUCUUGAUUCUGAAUCUAGUGAUCUGAGUUCAACUCUCAGUGGAACCU
Non-coding RNA from Erinaceus europaeus (western European hedgehog), 72 nucleotides. The record is from Rfam. Lineage: Eukaryota; Metazoa; Chordata; Mammalia; Eulipotyphla; Erinaceidae.